CUCCAGUACUUGGCUAGUCGCACAGAGCACUCCAUCAGCUGCUGAGACCUGAGAGAGAGGUGUCCGACCCGGGAUUCCCUUGCCAUGCCAUUCCCAUGUGAUUGAUGCUCCGACCUCCCAUCUGCGUGCGUACGAGUAUUAUUAGCAGCAUCAGUGCGUAGCAAUUAAGAGCGAGCGAGAUCAGCGCUACCCGUUGCAGGUCGCCACCUCCCUCCCUUCUUCCACCUCGGCUCCGCUUCUUGGGUCUUGCUUGCUCGGCCUGACCAACCAAGAACGAGGAGAAGGGAUGGGGAUGGGGUGGCGGAGGGCGCUGUGCACGUCCGUCCAGCGGGACGACGACCCCGACCGCGACGCCAGUACCAAGAAGCGCCGGCCGCAGUACGACGCGCCGAGCCCGCGCGGCACCGCCGCCGGUUUCUUCUCCGCCGUCAAGAGCGCGGCCGCCGGUGGCGGUGCGGCUAGCGGCAGUGGCAGCAACCCGUCCACGCCGGCCCUCCGCUGCCGCACCAGGCCGCUGCAGCAGCCGGCUGACUCCGCCCCCGUGACGCCGCCCUCCGCGCCGGCUCCCGCCAGGAACCACCGGGUGCCGCUGAUGCAGGCGCUGUCGGCGCCGGUCUCGCCUAGAUCCCCCUCCAGAUUCGCGCUGCUCAAGGCGUCGCUCCUCCCGUCCAAGGACGAGGAGGAGAAGGUGGAGCCUAGAGCGCAAAAAGAUGGAUCCAAUCAGAUCACAGCACAGCAGCUUUUGCCUGUCCAAAUGGAGAUUUUGAUCUCAGUGCUCCAAAUGAAUGAUCCUACUGCUGCUUAGCGUCCAAAAAGCCCAAUCUUUUACUCGUGCUCUUUUCUUCCUUUCUUUGGAAAACACUCCAUCUUGUUUUGUUUGUUGAUCAUUCUCCUGUCUUUGCAGAAUGUUUUGUUUCUCAGCUGCUGAUGUUUUUUCUCUCUCUUUUCUUUACGUGCAGUCCCGGUGCGGCGUGUGCUCGCGUGGCGUCAAGAGCGGCGGCAGCUCGGCGGUGUUCACGGCCGAGUGCUCCCACGCCUUCCACUUCCCCUGCAUCGCAGCCCACGCGCGCUCCUCCUCCGCCAACGGCGUUCUGUCCUGCCCCGUCUGCGCCUCGCCGUGGCGCCAGGCGCCCUUCCUCGCCUCCCUCCGCCUCCACUGCUCCUUCCACGACGACAAGCACCGAGGAGGAGGCGACGGCCGCAAGACGCCGCCGCCCGCCAAGCUAUACGACGACGACGAGCCGCUGCUGGCGCCCAAGGCCGCGGCCAACGGUGGCGGCUUCAACCCGAUCCCGGAGGCCGACGAGGACGACGAGGAGGAGCAGGGCGCCGCCGAGUUCAGGGGCUUCUUCCCAUGCCCCAGGAGUAGGACCACCUCGGGCCUGGCCAUCACCGUGGCGCCCGAGGCCGCGCUCGUGUCGUCGGGCCGCCGCCACGGCAAGUACGUGGUGGCCGUCAAGGUCAAGGCGCCCGGGCUGCGCUCGUCGGCGGCGGCCCCGCGGCGCGCGCCAAUCGACCUGGUCACCGUGCUGGACGUCAGCCAGGGCAUGAUGGGCGAGAAGCUGCAGAUGCUGAAGCGAGGGAUGCGCCUCGUCGUGGCCUCCCUCGGCCCCGCCGACCGCCUCUCCAUCGUCGCGUUCUCCGGCGCCGCCAAGCGCCUGCUGCCGCUGCGCAGGAUGACCAGGACGGGGCAGCGGUCCGCGCGGCAGAUCGUCGACCGUCUUGUCGUCUGCGCGGCUGCCGCAACCACGGCCACGGCAACGCAGGGGCAGCAGAGUGCGUGCAUGGGCGACGCGCUGCGCAAGGCCACCAAGGUGCUUGAGGACCGGCGGGACCGCAACCCGGUGGCCACCGUCAUGCUGCUCUCCGACACCCAGCAGCAGCAGCAGCAGUCGGCAGCGCCGGAAAACUCGUCAAGGAAGCAGUUUGGGCGGCCAGCGGUGGCCCCAGCAACGCGCUUCACCCAUGUGGAGAUCCCCAUCGGCCCCGGUGACCCGCCUCCUCUUGUGUCCGAGUGCGAGGAGGAGCCUCCCGUGGAGCACGCGUUCGCCAAGUGCCUUGGCGGGCUGGUGAGCGUGGUAAUGCAAGAGGUGCAUCUGGAGCUGGCGUUCCCGACAGGGGAGAUCACGGCGGUGUACUCGUGCGGGCCCGGGCAGCAGGCCGUGGCAAUCUCCGGUGGUGCGGGGGUGAGCGUGCGGCUGGGCGAGAUGUACGCGGAGGAGGAGCGCGAGCUGCUGGUAGAGGUGCGGGCACCGCUGGGCAGCCACCCGCACUCGUUGUCGGUGCGGUGCACGUACCGCGACCCGGCGUCGCAAGAGACGGUGCGCGGCGCGGUGCAGCCUCUGCUGCUGCCCGCGCUCCAUGGCGAGCGGGCGCUGUCGUCGUCUCGGCGGCUGCACGACCUGUUCGUGGCGACACGCGCCGUGGCGGAGUCGCGGCGGCUGGCGGAGCUGCAGGACCUGGGGACGGCGAUCCACCUGCUGUCGUCGGCGCGGGCGCUGGUGCUGCAGUCGCCAGUGACGCCGCAGCAGCAUGAGCUGGUGGGCAGCCUGGACACGGAGCUGAGCGACAUGCGGUGGCGUCGUGGCAACAGCCAGCAUCAGCAUGAGGAGGUAGUGACGCCGACGUCGAGGAGCGGCAGGAGGAGGGGAGACGGGGACACGACGGUGACCGUGGGGACCCCGCGCGGGUCAGCCGGGGCAGGGGAGGCGCUGACGCCGACGUCGGCGUGGCGCGCGGCGGAGCAGCUGGCCAAGGUGGCCAUCAUGCGCAAGUCUAUGAACCGGGUCAGCGACCUGCAUGGCUUCGAGAACGCGCGCUUCUGAAGCUCUCGACUUCGAGAACGCGCGCUUCUGAAGCUAGCCGUCGUCGACCUCGUGUCUGUCUGUAAUUGAGUCGUGUUCUAUUUUGGCCUUCUUCUUUUUUUCCCGUUUUCUUUCGCCAGUGAAACGAGAUGAGUACCCAAAGAGGAGGAAGAAGAUAGCCCCCGCCCCGUGCCGCGAACGGCGGCUAGCCGGAGCUGUUGUUGUUGUUAUAUGUGGAUUAUGAAUUAUGAGGACGAUUAAUGAACCCGGAUAGGAUGAAUUGGUUUGCGCAUUUACA
Molecule: non-coding RNA, 3102 nt
Organism: Zea mays
Lineage: Eukaryota; Viridiplantae; Streptophyta; Magnoliopsida; Poales; Poaceae
Source: RefSeq, a predicted model, not a curated record